Molecule: ribosomal RNA, 896 nt
Filed under: Diaporthe novem
Lineage: Eukaryota; Fungi; Ascomycota; Sordariomycetes; Diaporthales; Diaporthaceae
Description: LSU rRNA
Rfam family: Eukaryotic large subunit ribosomal RNA
Source: RNAcentral
UAGCAUAUCAAUAAGCGGAGGAAAAGAAACCAACAGGGAUUGCCCUAGUAACGGCGAGUGAAGCGGCAACAGCUCAAAUUUGAAAUCUGGCUUCGGCCCGAGUUGUAAUUUGCAGAGGAUGCUUCUGGCGCGGUGCCUUCCGAGUUCCCUGGAACGGGACGCCACAGAGGGUGAGAGCCCCGUAUGGUCGGACACCAAGCCUGUGUGAAGCUCCUUCGACGAGUCGAGUAGUUUGGGAAUGCUGCUCUAAAUGGGAGGUAAAUCUCUUCUAAAGCUAAAUACCGGCCAGAGACCGAUAGCGCACAAGUAGAGUGAUCGAAAGAUGAAAAGCACCUUGAAAAGGGGGUUAAAUAGUACGUGAAAUUGUUGAAAGGGAAGCACUUAUGACCAGACUUGGGCCGGGCGGCUCAUCAGGGGUUCUCCCCUGUGCAUUCCGCCCGGCACAGGCCAGCAUCGGUUUUCGCGGGGGGAUAAGACCGGCGGGAACGUAGCACCCUCCGGGGUGUGUUAUAGCCCACCGGACGAUACCCUCGCGGGGACCGAGGUCCGCGCUCCGCAAGGAUGCUGGCGUAAUGGUCAUCAGUGACCCGUCUUGAAACACGGACCAAGGAGUCGUCCAUUAGAGCGAGCGUUUGGGUGUAAAACCCGCACGCGUAAUGAAAGUGAACGCAGGUGAGAGCUUCGGCGCAUCAUCGACCGAUCCUGAUGUUCUCGGAAGGAUUUGAGUAAGAGUUUUAACGGACGGACCCGAAAGACAGUGAACUAUGCUUGUAUAGGGUGAAGCCAGAGGAAACUCUGGUGGAGGCUCGCAGCGGUUCUGACGUGCAAAUCGAUCGUCAAAUAUGAGCAUGGGGGCGAAAGACUAAUCGAACUGUCUAGUAGCUGGUUACCGCCGA